UCCUCCCUCACGGUGGCCCAUUUAGGCCCAA
This 31-nucleotide non-coding RNA is filed under the name Homo sapiens (human). The record is from RNAcentral. Lineage: Eukaryota; Metazoa; Chordata; Mammalia; Primates; Hominidae.